GUCUAUGGCCAUACCACCCUGAACAUGCCCGAUCUCAUCUGUUCUCAGAAGCUAAGCAGGGUCGGGCCUGGCUAGUACUUGGAUGGAGAAUGCUUUUCAUAAGCA
RNAcentral lists this ribosomal RNA (105 nucleotides) under Rattus norvegicus (Norway rat). The record is from RNAcentral. Lineage: Eukaryota; Metazoa; Chordata; Mammalia; Rodentia; Muridae.